This 463-nucleotide ribosomal RNA is filed under the name uncultured bacterium. RNAcentral describes it as "bacterial SSU rRNA". It matches the Rfam family "Bacterial small subunit ribosomal RNA", at positions 33 to 507 of the family's 1533-position model. The record is from RNAcentral.
ACGCUGGCGGCGUGCUUAACACAUGCAAGUCGAACGAUGAAGCUGGAGCUUGCUCCGGUGGAUUAGUGGCGAACGGGUGAGUAACACGUGAGAAAUCUGCCCUUGACUCUGGGAUAACUGCGGGAAACUGUAGCUAAUACCGGAUACUUUCCUCGGUGGGCAUCCACUGGGGAAGAAAGAAUUUCGGUCAAGGAUGAUCUCGCGGCCUAUCAGCUAGUUGGUGAGGUAAUGGCUCACCAAGGCGACGACGGGUAGCCGGCCUGAGAGGGUGACCGGCCACACUGGGACUGAGACACGGCCCAGACUCCUACGGGAGGCAGCAGUGGGGAAUAUUGCGCAAUGGGCGAAAGCCUGACGCAGCAACGCCGCGUGAGGGAUGAAGGCCUUCGGGUUGUAAACCUCUUUUAUCAGGGAAGAAGCGAAAGUGACGGUACCUGAAGAAAAAGCACCGGCUAACUACGUG